Molecule: ribosomal RNA, 496 nt
Filed under: uncultured bacterium
Lineage: Bacteria
Description: SSU rRNA
Rfam family: Bacterial small subunit ribosomal RNA
Source: RNAcentral
AGGACGAACGCUGGCGGCGUGCUUAACACAUGCAAGUCGAGCGGAAAGGCCCUUCGGGGUACUCGAGCGGCGAACGGGUGAGUAACACGUGAGUAAUCUGCCCCUAGCUCUGGGAUAGCUCCGGGAAACCGGGAUUAAUACCGGAUACGACCACCUUAGACAUCUUUUGUGGUGGAAAGAAUUUCGGCUAGGGAUGAGCUCGCGGCCUAUCAGCUAGUUGGUGAGGUAACGGCCCACCAAGGCUUUGACGGGUAGCUGGUCUGAGAGGACGACCAGCCACACUGGGACUGAGACACGGCCCAGACACCUACGGGUGGCAGCAGUCGAGAAUUUUUCUCAAUGGGGGAAACCCUGAAGGAGCGACGCCGCGUGGAGGAUGAAGGUCUUCGGAUUGUAAACUCCUGUCAUUGGGGAACAAGUCGCUUACGUUAACUGCGUGAGCGUUGAUAGUACCCGAAGAGGAAGAGACGGCUAACUCUGCGCCAGCAGCCGCGGU